AAGACUGGAUACUACUUUCUCUCGCAUGGGGGUGUGUGGAAAGGUAUUGACUGGGUUUGGAUGGGCUCACGAUCUAUCAGCUUGUGGGUGGGGGAAUGGCCUACCAAGGCAACGACGGGCAGCCGGACUGAGAGGGUGACCGGCCACACUGUGACUGAGACACGGCCCUCACUCCUACGGGAGGCAGGAGUGAUAAAUAUUGCACAAUGAGCGAAAGCCUGAUGCACCGACGCCGCGGGAGGAAUGACGGCCUUCGGGUUGUAAACCUCUUUCAGCACGAAAGAAGCGAAAGUGACGGUACGUGCAAAAGAACCGCCGGCUAACUACCUGCCACCACCCGCGGUAAUACGUAGGGCGCAAGCGUUGUCCGUAAUUAUUGGGCGUAAAGAGCUCGUAGGCGGUUUGUCCCGUCUGCUGUGAAAGCCCGUUACUUACCCCCGGGGUGUGCAGUGCGUACGGACUAACUAGAGUGCAGUAAGAGAGACUGUAAUUCCUGAUGUAGCGAUGAAAUGCACAUAUAUCAGAAGGAACACCGAUGGCGAAGGCAUCUCUCUGGUCUGUUACUGACACUGACGAGCGAAAGCAUGGCGAGCGAACAGGAAUACAUACCCUGGUAGUGCAUGCCGUAAACGUUGCUAACUAUGUGUGACAUACAUUCCACGUUUUCCGCGCCGUAGCUAACGCAUUAACUGCCCCGCCUGGUGAGUACGCCCGCAUAGCUAUCACUCGAAUUGAUUGACGGCCGCCCACGCAAGCGACGGAGCAUGCUAAUUAAUUCCAUGCAACACAAACAUACCUUACCCAUGGAUUUGACAUACACCAGACCGACACAUGAGAUGUUCUUCUCUCUUUGUAGUUGGACGUACAGGUGAUGCAUGUUUGUCGUCAGCUCGUGUCGAUGAGUAUGUUGAGUACCGUCCACGCAACGAGAGCAUCCCUCGAUGCUAUGCUAGCCAGCACUGAUGGUGGCUGACAUCGUAAGCAGACUGGCGCGAUCAGCUCGAGGAGGUGAUGAUGACGAUCAAAUCAU
Molecule: ribosomal RNA, 1030 nt
Filed under: uncultured Kocuria sp.
Lineage: Bacteria; Bacillati; Actinomycetota; Actinomycetes; Micrococcales; Micrococcaceae
Description: bacterial SSU rRNA
Rfam family: Bacterial small subunit ribosomal RNA
Source: RNAcentral